Molecule: ribosomal RNA, 1345 nt
Filed under: uncultured bacterium
Lineage: Bacteria
Description: bacterial SSU rRNA
Rfam family: Bacterial small subunit ribosomal RNA
Source: RNAcentral
GAUGAACGCUAGCGGGAGGCCUAACACAUGCAAGCCGAGCGGUAUUGUUUCUUCGGAAAUGAGAGAGCGGCGUACGGGUGCGGAACACGUGUGCAACCUGCCUUUAUCUGGGGGAUAGCCUUUCGAAAGGAAGAUUAAUACUCCAUAAUAUAUUGAACGGCAUCGUUUAAUAUUGAAAGCUCCGGCGGAUAGAGAUGGGCACGCGCAAGAUUAGCUAGUUGGUGAGGUAACGGCUCACCAAGGCGAUGAUCUUUAGGGGGCCUGAGAGGGUGAUCCCCCACACUGGUACUGAGACACGGACCAGACUCCUACGGGAGGCAGCAGUGAGGAAUAUUGGUCAAUGGGUGCAAGCCUGAACCAGCCAUCCCGCGUGAAGGACGACUGCCCUAUGGGUUGUAAACUUCUUUUGUAUAGGGAUAAACCUACCCUCGUGAGGGUAGCUGAAGGUACUAUACGAAUAAGCACCGGCUAACUCCGUGCCAGCAGCCGCGGUAAUACGGAGGGUGCAAGCGUUAUCCGGAUUUAUUGGGUUUAAAGGGUCCGUAGGCGGACUUAUAAGUCAGUGGUGAAAGCCUGUCGCUUAACGAUAGAACUGCCAUUGAUACUGUAAGUCUUGAGUAUAUUUGAGGUAGCUGGAAUAAGUAGUGUAGCGGUGAAAUGCAUAGAUAUUACUUAGAACACCAAUUGCGAAGGCAGGUUACCAAGAUAUAACUGACGCUGAGGGACGAGAGCGUGGGGAGCGAACAGGAUUAGAUACCCUGGUAGUCCACGCCGUAAACGAUGCUAACUCGUUUUUGGGCUUUAGGGUUCAGAGACCAAGCGAAAGUGAUAAGUUAGCCACCUGGGGAGUACGCUCGCAAGAGUGAAACUCAAAGGAAUUGACGGGGGCCCGCACAAGCGGUGGAUUAUGUGGUUUAAUUCGAUGAUACGCGAGGAACCUUACCAAGACUUAAAUGGGAAUUGACAGCUUUAGAAAUAGAGCUUUCUUCGGACAAUUUUCAAGGUGCUGCAUGGUUGUCGUCAGCUCGUGCCGUGAGGUGUUAGGUUAAGUCCUGCAACGAGCGCAACCCCUGUCACUAGUUGCCAUCAUUCAGUUGGGGACUCUAGUGAGACUGCCUACGCAAGUAGAGAGGAAGGUGGGGAUGACGUCAAAUCAUCACGGCCCUUACGUCUUGGGCCACACACGUAAUACAAUGGCCGGUACAGAGGGCAGCUACACAGCGAUGUGAUGCAAAUCUCGAAAGCCGGUCUCAGUUCGGAUUGGAGUCUGCAACUCGACUCUAUGAAGCUGGAAUCGCUAGUAAUCGCGCAUCAGCCAUGGCGCGGUGAAUACGUUCCCGGGCCU